This 1204-nucleotide long non-coding RNA is filed under the name Piliocolobus tephrosceles (Ugandan red Colobus). RNAcentral's name for it is "lncRNA (ENSPTEG00000038564.1)". The record is from RNAcentral. Lineage: Eukaryota; Metazoa; Chordata; Mammalia; Primates; Cercopithecidae.
AUAUAUAUAUAUAUAUAUAUGUUCGAUUGUAUAUGUUAAAACAAAUGUUGAUUUCUUAUAAGUUCAUUAUUAUCUUUCUGUAUUAAAACAAUAUAUUAAUAAUGAUAUAAGUAAAAUAAUUUUUUCACAUAUAAAAAAAAAAUAAAUAAAUAAAUUUUCUUUACAAUAUAUAUGACAUAAUGUAUAUUUUUCUAUAUUUUCGUUGUUUUUUUGUUUUUUUUUUUUUGUUCUAUGUAGGUUUUUUUAAGUUUUACUAUAAUUAUAAAAAAAAAAAAAAAAUAUAUAUAUAUACACCAAAUAUAGAAAAUUAUAAGAUAGCGAGCCAUAUAUAAAUUUUUCUGGUGUGUGUAUGUACAUUAUCGUAAAAUUCACAUCACGCAUGACUUUAUGUGCUUCUUCAACAUUUUGUGAAUAUAUAGUUAUUUGUAACACAGUUUUAGUGUACAUAUGAAUAUGUUCAUUUAUAUAUGCUUAUUUUGAAUAAGCUGCUACAUAUAUAUAUAUAUAUAUAUAUAUAUAUAUAUAUAUAUAUAUAUAUAUUAUAACAUAAAUAACUGUGUUCCAUAUUUUAUUGUGUUGUUUGUGUUUAUUUAUUUUGUAUAAAAAAAAACACAUAUAUUGUUACUUUCUGUUUUUUCUGUACUUUUUUUUUUUUAUUGUUAUUGCAAAAUGCGCAAGAAUUUUUUUUUUUUGUUAUUCUCUCUAUCACUAGCGUUGUUAGGCGGUUCAAAUGUUUCUGUAAAGAAAAAAUUUUAUGAAGGAGAAAUUAAGAAUCAUUUGAAUAGAUUUUUAAUUUUAAAAAAUUCUCAAAAAUAUUGUGAAGGAAGCAAUUUAAUCUCGACUACAAAUUCAGAAAACUUAUAUAAACUCAGCAAAGCAUUAGAUAUUUGCGAGAAUAAUAAAACUUGUGAUUUUAUUUCAUAUUCUCCUAGAAGAAUUUUAAGGAAUUCAAUUUUUUAUGAGGAUGAAAAGGAGUUGCAAAAUACCGGUGCCAUUUGGAUAUGUGCAGGUGAUAAAUGGGUAUCUACACGGCCACGAAUUAAUUGGAUUACGGCUAUUAAAGAAAAACAGAUAAAAGAUCAAAUGAGUGACUACAAUAUCAUUUCUCUUAACACAUCAGGGGUAUAUUUGGUAAAAAAACUAGUCACAAAAAAAAAAAAAAAAAAAAAAACAGCAAAUAGUGAAUAUCUAAUUGUAAAUAAUU